UGAUCAUUGUGGCUGGAAUAUAGUAGAUAUAAUCAAUACAUUAGGUCUUUCUUUUAGCCUGUGACUUAAACCCAUGAUAGAGAAAAAAGACCCAAGAAGCAAGUUCAAUGACUCCAAAAAGAAUUGAGACAUAUAAAGAAAACAGUUCAGAGAACGAUGAUGAUAGCAAAUUUUUCUACAACUCAAGGCAAUGUUAUGUAUGUGUUGUAUGUACUUAAGUGUCUGUGGUUGGUGGUUAGUAUUAUUUUUCUCAUGUUUGGCCUCAGUAAGGCACAACUAGACCAGAUAAUGAGCAUCUCAGACCUAAAGAAGAAAGCCAAGUAAUAUCCUCUGAACAUUUGAGUUAUGGAGAGUCAUCGUGUUUUUUGAGCAAUAAGAUGAACAAGUGACCUGCCCCAGAACUUCUGUGCUGUUCUUUGUUAUGAGAGAAAGGUUGUAAGACAUAGUUUGGAUGCAGAAUUGCAACUUCCAAAAAAAUUCUUGUGGCUUAUGGGAAAGAGUAUUUGAAAGUGGGAUAAUUUAAAAACACAUGUUCACAAGAGCUAUAGACUCCAAUCAUAGACAUAUAAUUGGAGCCAAUUAGUUUUAAAAACUCAAGUUCAUUCGAAACAUUUCCAAAUUCAAUAGGAAAAAAAUCAUAACUUCAAAUUUUAAUUUUGAGAUAUUUUAAAUAAAACAUGCUAUUUGUGAACAUCUGCUAAGAAAGGGCAAAAUCUUGCAAAUAUGUGAGUGUAGAUGACUUAGAGAGCAGCUCAGGAUCAUGAAUGCUUGUAAAGGAAGUUGAGGCAGAGUUCUACUUGUUCAUGGCUGCAUAAUCAACCACCCUGGAACUUUUGACCUAAAACAAUACCUGUGGUCUCUUGACCUAUGGUGCUUGUUGGGCUCCUCUGCACAGUACUUGCUUAGGAUUUCAUGUGGUUUCAGUCCAAUGGUGGUUGGAGCUGGAACAAUCUGAAGGUCCCAUUGGGUUGGACAUCCAAGAUGGCUCCUCGCAGGGCUGAUAGUUUAUGCCAGCUGUUGACUAAGAGCUUAGCUGGAGCUGGGGUUUAGCUAUUGGAGCACUAAGGCAUGGUGCUCCUCUUUUGGUUUGGGUUUCUAAGAGAGAAGAAGCAUGGUGACCAAGUUCUAAGAUAGAACAUGCUAAGAACUAGCACUUCAGGAGACAAAAAUAGGAAUUGGAAGACUUCCUUAGACCUAGCCUGAGAAGUCCCACAGUGUCACUGCUGCUUUGUUCCAUUUGUCACACAAGAAGUCCAGAUUUUCUGCAGGAGGAGACUGUUCAAUGUGAUAGAUACUGGGAGUACUGGGGUGUAUCUUUGAUAUAGUUAGAUGAGAAAAUGCUCUCAUUUGGAGUAGGAUUUUUGAAAAUUAUUUUCAUUUCCAUGGAAAAAGGAGUAAGGAUGCUUCAUCUCCUGUUCUUCAUAAAAUGCAGCCGGUUCCCUUGGACUUUCUACCAUGCAACUCAUAACAUGUAUACACAGGAUUUGUGAGGCAAAAGGAAUCAGCCUUAG
Molecule: long non-coding RNA, 1511 nt
Filed under: Marmota monax (woodchuck)
Lineage: Eukaryota; Metazoa; Chordata; Mammalia; Rodentia; Sciuridae
Source: RNAcentral